Molecule: ribosomal RNA, 501 nt
Filed under: uncultured Oscillospiraceae bacterium
Lineage: Bacteria; Bacillati; Bacillota; Clostridia; Eubacteriales; Oscillospiraceae
Description: bacterial SSU rRNA
Rfam family: Bacterial small subunit ribosomal RNA
Source: RNAcentral
GUUUGAGUCCUGGCUCAGACGACGCUGGCGGCGUGCCUAAUACAUGCAAGGUCAACGGAGAUAUUCGCUGAUGAAGUACUUCGGUAAUGAAUCUUGGAUAUCUUAGUGGCGGACGGGUGAGUAACGCGUGAGCAACCUGCCUUUCAGAGGGGGAUAACGUUUGGAAACGAACGCUAAUACCGCAUGACAUUAUCUUAUCGCAUGGUAGGAUAAUCAAAGGAGCAAUCCGCUGAAAGAUGGGCUCGCGUCCGAUUAGGUAGUUGGUGGGGUAACGGCCCACCAAGCCGACGAUCGGUAGCCGGACUGAGAGGUUGAACGGCCACAUUGGGACUGAGACACGGCCCAGACUCCUACGGGAGGCAGCAGUAAGGGAUAUUGGUCAAUGGGGGAAACCCUGAACCAGCAACGCCGCGUGAGGGAAGACGGUUUUCGGAUUGUAAACCUCUGUCCUCUGUGAAGAUGAUGACGGUAGCAGAGGAGGAAGCUCCGGCUAACUACGUG